UAAUAGUUUCCUCCAUUCGUUUUUGUGACACAUCAAAUGAUUAAUUCUAAAUUGCCAUUUUUUCUCUCUCUCUAUAUACUUCACCAAAAUUAUUGAAUAGACACACAAAGCAAACAUUUCUUCUCAACAAACUUAAUUGGUAUUGAUCAUUUUAGUGCAGCAAUGGGUUCUUCAAAACUUGUGUUUUCAAUGCUAUAUUCCUUUCUCUGUCAACUUGCUUUCUCCUCAUCCUCAUCUCAUUUUUGCCCCAAAGAUCAAUCUCUUGCUCUGCUACAAUUCAAGCACAUGUUUACCAUCAUCCUAAUGCUUCUGAUUAUUGUUACAAUUCAAGAACUCUUUCAUGGAACAAGAGCACAGAUUGCUGCACAUGGAAUGGAGUUCAUUGUGAGGAGACAACGAGACAAGUAAUUGAGCUUGACCUCUAUUGCAACAGACUUCAAGGCAAAUUCCAUUCCAACAGUAGCCUGUUUCAUCUCUCCAAUCUCAAAUUGCUUGUUUUGUCUUUUAAUAAUUUUUCCUGCACGCAUGUCAGGAUGUGAGCAUGAAGGUGGCUAAGAACAUGAGAAAUCAGAACACUAGAGGCCACUUGUGCUUGUAUCCUGUGCACGCAGGUCCUUCACAUGGGUCACUUAUUUCACCUAAAUUUGAAAUAGAUUUGAAGGUUAUCUCCCAAGCAUUACUGGAGAUCUCGUUGGACUCCGUACGCUGAACCUAUCUCAUAAUGGUUUGGAAGGUAUUAUAGCAGCAUCGUUGCAACAUUUGUCCGUACUUGAAUCGUUGGAUCUCUCAUCUAACAAGAUUGGAGGUGAAAUUCCACAACAGCUUGUAUCCCUCACAUCACUUGCAGUCUUAAAUUUUCUCACAAUCAUCUUGUUGGAUGCAUUCCUAAAGAAAAGCAAUUUGAUAUGUUUGAGAACAGUUCAUACCAAGGGAAUGAUGGUUUACGUGGAUUGCCACUCUCAAAAGAUUGUGGUGGCAAUUAUGGGGUACCGCAAGCGACAACUCUAGCUGAGCUAGAUGAAGAAGAAGAAGGAGAUUUGAUCAGUUGGCAAGCGGUUCUCCUGGGUUACGGUUGUGGUCUUGUUAUUGGUCUGUCCAUAAUAUACAUAAUGUUGUCAACUCACUAUCCAGUAUGGUUUUCAAGGAUGGUUGUAAAAUUUGAACACAAAAUUGUUACAAAAAUGAAAAGGCAAAAGAAAAGAUAUUAGUGUGUAAA
This is an RNA transcript of Capsicum annuum, 1216 nucleotides long. RefSeq lists it as uncharacterized. NCBI's taxonomy places the organism in Eukaryota, Viridiplantae, Streptophyta, Magnoliopsida, Solanales, Solanaceae. The transcript is spliced from 2 exons. The record is from RefSeq and is a predicted model, not a curated record.